Molecule: transfer RNA, 77 nt
Filed under: bacterium
Lineage: Bacteria
Also listed under: 1 other name
Description: tRNA-Val
Rfam family: tRNA
About the family: Transfer RNA (tRNA) molecules are approximately 80 nucleotides in length.
Source: RNAcentral
GGGCGGUUAGCUCAGUUGGUUAGAGCGUUUGCUCGACACGCAAAAGGUCACCGGUUCGAAUCCAGUACCGCCCACCA